Molecule: ribosomal RNA, 243 nt
Filed under: Priestia megaterium
Lineage: Bacteria; Bacillati; Bacillota; Bacilli; Caryophanales; Bacillaceae
Description: Bacillus megaterium partial 16S ribosomal RNA
Rfam family: Bacterial small subunit ribosomal RNA
Source: RNAcentral
AACGGGACCAAGACCGCGCGGUCAAGCCAAUCCCAUAAAACCAUUCUCAGUUCGGAUUGUAGGCUGCAACUCGCCUACAUGAAGCUGGAAACGCUAGUAAUCGCGGAUCAGCAUGCCGCGGUGAAUACGUUCCCGGGCCUUGUACACACCGCCCGUCACACCACGAGAGUUUGUAACACCCGAAGUCGGUGGAGUAACCGUAAGGAGCUAGCCGCCUAAGGUGGGACAGAUGAUUUGGGGGGU